This is an RNA transcript of Pyrus x bretschneideri (Chinese white pear), 1741 nucleotides long. RefSeq lists it as uncharacterized. The record is from RefSeq and is a predicted model, not a curated record. The transcript has 3 exons. NCBI's taxonomy places the organism in Eukaryota, Viridiplantae, Streptophyta, Magnoliopsida, Rosales, Rosaceae.
UUCACCUAUCUACUGUGUUUCCUUCUCAUCUUUCCACCAUCUUUUUUUGCCAUCCCAUACCGUUUCUCUAUCUCAAUGCACUAUCUCUUUUUCCCCCCUUUGACUCUCAAACUUUGCACUUUCUUUUUCCCUUUAUCUCUCCCAGUCCUUUAACCUGUCUUAUCUGCAAAUGUAAGAACGACCAACGACGAAGCCGUCGUACCGAUCGAAGAUAAACUGUACCAGAGCACCACCACCCGUCCAUUAUGGUUUUCUAAACUCCCUCAUUUUCACUCUCUAAACUCUGUGCCCACUGCACAAAAACAUGAAUAGUGAUCAUCUGCCAUGGCCGACUCUAGCGAGGUUGACAUACCACCAGGCUAUCAUCGCUUCUCCUUUGUGAAAACCCAGGAAUCGGACACAAAACCUUGGACCCUUUAUUUCAGCUCCUUAUCUUCUCCACUACAUAGAAAAGUUAAGCCGAGACUAGCAUCGCCAUUUUCUUCAGCGAGUUUACUUAGAACCCAACGAAACCAAGAAAUGCAUGGGGAGGAACUUCCCAGAUUUUCCGGCUACUUUCGAGCUGUUUUCCAACCAACUCCAGCCACGGCCGAGGAAACCAAAGGUGCGAUUAAUUUUAGAGAUUCCAGCUAUCCUAGCUCGAACGGCUGUGGCCUCGCAAGUAUCAGUGAGUGGAUCUUUACUUUUAAAUAUUAUAUACUUAUUUAGUUUCCAUUUAUACAUUUGAAAAAGAACUUCCUACGUAUGUCUAGAUUAGAUUAAUGUUUGUAAGAAUUAGCGAAAUAACGCAAUUUAUGAAAUUAUCCUAAAUCCUACGGGAUGCACAUGUAUGCAUAUUAUUAAGGGAUGCCUCAUUUAUAUUUAUAGCAGUGAAUGGUAUUAUGUUGGCGUAAGUUAUUGAUUUACCGUUGUAUGAUUUUGUUUACGUUAUCUGCUCAUCUUUGCUACACGGUGUUAGUACUCGCCCAGGCCAUGGCUAGGCUUCCAUGUGUGCACAUCGCACCGUACGCUCAAUUUGGAUCCAUUGUAGGUGCCAGUCUUGUCCUAGAUUGCAAUAGGCAAUUAGGACUCGUAUGUGUUGUGCAUAGUGCUAGUCUUCACAUGAUUGUAGUACUAGAGCAUAUAUCUUCGUUACACCCAGUUCUGUUUAUGUCAGAAUAUCUCUGCAUAAACUCAUGUGUCAGCAUGUGUCGAUGAGCACUUGAUAUGAUACGUUUGCUUAUGUGAGGUUAUGUGAUUACAGAUGUCAUAUGCUUACUUACGAAAUAUUGUGCCAUAUUGAAUUCUUGAGGUUUUGCAGGUUGUGGUAGUAUUUUCUUACUAUACGUAGUAUGUAUAUUUUGGAAAUUCUACUUGAUUUACGGCGAGGGGUUAUAAUGUUUUCAAAAAGGUUUUUACAAACUUUAUUUUUAGGCCCACUCAUCUUUGUUUUUCACCCCUCCAAGUUUUAGUUGCUGAGCUUUCGUAUCGAUAAGGAUUCUUGGCAAAUCUUGGUAUUGGAGAUUACCUUCGAUGAUUUGGAGAUUUGGAACAAGCAAAGAAUUUAAGGAAGGUUGCAACCUGCAAGUGCAAGAUAUUUUUAAUUGAAUUGUGAAUUUGAAAGUAAAUUUGAAUUGGAUUGUGAUUUGUAGAUAUGUGAAUUGGAUAUGUGAAUUUGAAAUAGAUAUAGAUAGGUGAAAUUGAAUUGGAUUUGUGAAAUUGAAAUGGAUAUAUGAAAUUGAAAUGGAUAUGUGAAUUUGAA